Arachis stenosperma is the source of this 967-nucleotide long non-coding RNA. RefSeq lists it as uncharacterized. NCBI's taxonomy places the organism in Eukaryota, Viridiplantae, Streptophyta, Magnoliopsida, Fabales, Fabaceae. The transcript has 3 exons. The record is from RefSeq and is a predicted model, not a curated record.
CUUCCCCCUUCUCUCCCUCUCUGUUUCUGAGAAACCCUAAACCUAGCCGCCAUCACUCUUCCACCGUCGCACUCUUCUCACCCCACCCCACCCCUCCCUUCCCCUUUCUCUCCGUCUCUGAGAAACCCUAAACCCAGCCACCAUCACUAUCCACCGUCGCGCUCUUCUCAUCGUUCUUCUCCUCGUCGCGUCAGUUGGUCGUCGUCUCUUCGGAUCGUUACUCUUCUUGUCGCCGUCGGCCGGUCAUCGUCUCUUCGGCGAUCUCUCUCUGUCGCUCUCUUCAAAGUCAACAACACCUAUUAUCGUCACCUCUCCUCGACGUCGAGUCUGAACUGUUGGCAUCGCCGCCGCGAAGGACUGCUCCGUCGUCAUCGCCGCCUCAUUCUCGUCAUCGAAACGCCUCUGUCUCCGAGCCAUCUCUCUCUCUCUGUGUGUGUUGAGCACCACUCUCAGUGCGUAGUGCGAACGUACCCUUGCCGCCGUGGACUUUGCCGUCGCCAUGGCCGAUCCGUCACUCACUAAAAAAUUCAAGAUCUCAUUGCCGUCACUUUCUUUCUCCGUCGCUGCCGGCUGAAAUUCAAGGAGCAUAUGCAGUACUGGAGUAGAUAAGCAAGCUUGCCAAGGUUCAGAAAAAGGUCUCUGAAGUUAAGAGUGUCAUGAUUUAGAAUAUUGAAAAGGCUGUAGAAACGUGAGAACUUUGUUUCAAUUAGAUAUGCAGUUUUAUUUUUCCCAUAGUAUCUAUUGAUUUGCCAGAUUUGGUUUUGAAACUUUAAUCAAAAUAAAACAGGAAACUUUAGUUUUGUAUGUAGCUUAGCCAACUAAUUUAGAAAAAAGGAAGCCUUUGGAGGAACAGGGCCAGGUGGAGCAAGAAAUAUUGCAAUUAGUUGUUGAUGGUUAGUUUCUGAAUUGCUGCUUUUUGUUCGAGUUAAUUUUGUUCGAGUUAGUAUAAUACUAUUGUUUGAGACUA